UUAGUAUAUGAAUUAUAAAUAAAUAAAAAUUAUUUUGAUAUUUUUCAUCAUAAAUUAUUUCAUCUUCUAAUUAACUCCUGUGUUGUGGUGAAGUCCUUAGGACUAUUUAGACUCGACAAAGGAGGAUUUGUCGUUUAGUCCUUAAACCUGUUCGCGAUCAAAUGAUACGUUAUUACCAAGGACAACAAUGUUUAUCAAGCAUAGGUCAUUGUGUGUCA
RNAcentral lists this long non-coding RNA (218 nucleotides) under Elaeis guineensis (African oil palm). RNAcentral's name for it is "long non-coding RNA (EGUI_LNC021290)". The record is from RNAcentral. Lineage: Eukaryota; Viridiplantae; Streptophyta; Magnoliopsida; Arecales; Arecaceae.